Molecule: ribosomal RNA, 576 nt
Filed under: Bacillus thuringiensis
Lineage: Bacteria; Bacillati; Bacillota; Bacilli; Caryophanales; Bacillaceae
Description: bacterial SSU rRNA
Rfam family: Bacterial small subunit ribosomal RNA
Source: RNAcentral
UCCGGGAAACCGGGGCUAAUACCGGAUAACAUUUUGAACCGCAUGGUUCGAAAUUGAAAGGCGGCUUCGGCUGUCACUUAUGGAUGGACCCGCGUCGCAUUAGCUAGUUGGUGAGGUAACGGCUCACCAAGGCAACGAUGCGUAGCCGACCUGAGAGGGUGAUCGGCCACACUGGGACUGAGACACGGCCCAGACUCCUACGGGAGGCAGCAGUAGGGAAUCUUCCGCAAUGGACGAAAGUCUGACGGAGCAACGCCGCGUGAGUGAUGAAGGCUUUCGGGUCGUAAAACUCUGUUGUUAGGGAAGAACAAGUGCUAGUUGAAUAAGCUGGCACCUUGACGGUACCUAACCAGAAAGCCACGGCUAACUACGUGCCAGCAGCCGCGGUAAUACGUAGGUGGCAAGCGUUAUCCGGAAUUAUUGGGCGUAAAGCGCGCGCAGGUGGUUUCUUAAGUCUGAUGUGAAAGCCCACGGCUCAACCGUGGAGGGUCAUUGGAAACUGGGAGACUUGAGUGCAGAAGAGGAAAGUGGAAUUCCAUGUGUAGCGGUGAAAUGCGUAGAGAUAUGGAGGAACAC